This 254-nucleotide ribosomal RNA is filed under the name uncultured bacterium. RNAcentral's name for it is "partial 16S ribosomal RNA". It matches the Rfam family "Bacterial small subunit ribosomal RNA", at positions 524 to 776 of the family's 1533-position model. The record is from RNAcentral.
GACAGAGGGGGCAAGCGUUGCUCGGAAUCACUGGGCGUAAAGCGCACGUAGGCGGAUUUCUAAGUCAGGGGUGAAAUCCUGGAGCUCAACUCCAGAACUGCCUUUGAUACUGGGAAUCUUCGAGUCCGGGAGAGGUGAGUGGAACUGCGAGUGUAGAGGUGAAAUUCGUAGAUAUUCGCAAGAACACCAGUGGCGAAGGCGGCUCACUGGCCCGGUACUGACGCUGAGGUGCGAAAGCGUGGGGAGCAAACAGG